UGGGGAAUAUUGCACAAUGGGGGAAACCCUGAUGCAGCGACGCCGCGUGAGCGAAGAAGUAUUUCGGUAUGUAAAGCUCUAUCAGCAGGGAAGAAAAUGACGGUACCUGACUAAGAAGCUCCGGCUAAAUACGUGCCAGCAGCCGCGGUAAUACGUAUGGAGCAAGCGUUAUCCGGAUUUACUGGGUGUAAAGGGAGCGUAGACGGAGGAGCAAGUCUGGUGUGAAAGGCGGGGGCUUAACCCCUGGACUGCAUUGGAAACUGUUUUUCUAGAGUGCCGGAGAGGUAAGCGGAAUUCCUAGUGUAGCGGUGAAAUGCGUAGAUAUUAGGAGGAACACCAGUGGCGAAGGCGGCUUACUGGACGGUAACUGACGUUGAGGCUCGAAAGCGUGGGGAGCAAACA
RNAcentral lists this ribosomal RNA (402 nucleotides) under uncultured bacterium. RNAcentral's name for it is "bacterial SSU rRNA". It matches the Rfam family "Bacterial small subunit ribosomal RNA", at positions 355 to 774 of the family's 1533-position model. The record is from RNAcentral.